RNAcentral lists this ribosomal RNA (918 nucleotides) under uncultured archaeon. RNAcentral's name for it is "bacterial SSU rRNA". It matches the Rfam family "Archaeal small subunit ribosomal RNA", at positions 1 to 922 of the family's 1478-position model. The record is from RNAcentral.
UCCGGUUGAUCCUGCCGGAGGCCACUGCUAUCGGUUUCCGACUAAGCCAUGCGAGUCAUGGGGUCGCAAGACACCGGCGCACGGCUCAGUAACACGCGGAUAAUCUAUCCUCUGGUGGGGGAUAACCUCGGGAAACUGAGGCUAAUACCCCAUAGAUGUUCAAUUCUGGAAGGAUUGAAUGUUGAAAGCGCAAGUGCCAGAGGGUGAGUCUGCGGCCUAUCAGGUUGUAGGUGGUGUAAAGGACCACCUAGCCUAAGACGGGUACGGGCCUUGAGAGAGGAAGCCCGGAGAUGGGUUCUGAGACACGAACCCAGGCCCUACGGGGCGCAGCAGGCGCGAAACCUUCGCACUGCGCGAAAGCGCGACGAGGGGAGACCGAGUGCCUCUCCUUUUUUGGGGAGGCUUUUCGCAAGCCUAAAAAGCUUGUGGAAUAAGGGCUGGGCAAGACGGGUGCCAGCCGCCGCGGUAAUACCCGCAGCUCAAGUGGUGGUCGCUUUUAUUGAGCCUAAAACGUUCGUAGUCGGCUUUGUAAAUCCUUGGGUAAAUCGGGCCGCUCAACGGUUCGAAUUCUGAGGAGACUGCAAAGCUAGGGACCGGGCGAGGUCGGAGGUACUUUCGGGGUAGGGGUGAAAUCCUGUAAUCCCGAAGGGACCACCUGUGGCGAAAGCGUCUGACUUGAACGGCUCCGACGAUGAGGAACGAAGGCUAGGGGAGCAAACCGGAUUAGAUACCCGGGUAGUCCUAGCUGUAAACUCUGCCCGCUUGGUGUGGCCUGUUCUUCGGGAGCAGGCUGUGCCGGAGCGAAGGUGUUAAGCGGGCUGCUUGGGGAGUACGGCCGCAAGGUUGAAACUUAAAGGAAUUGGCGGGGGAGCACCGCAACGGGAGGAUGCGUGCGGUUUAAUUGGAUUCAACGCCGGG